RNAcentral lists this ribosomal RNA (654 nucleotides) under uncultured archaeon. RNAcentral describes it as "bacterial SSU rRNA". It matches the Rfam family "Archaeal small subunit ribosomal RNA", at positions 508 to 1160 of the family's 1478-position model. The record is from RNAcentral.
GCCUAAAGCGUCCGUAGCCUGUUUUGUCAGUUUUCGGUUAAAUCCAUACGCUCAACGUAUGGGCUGCCGGAAAUACUGCAAAACUAGGGAGUGGGAGAGGUAGACGGUACUCGGGAGGAAGUGGUAAAAUGCUUUGAUCUCUCGAUGACCACCUGUGGCGAAGGCGGUCUACCAGAACACGUCCGACGGUGAGGGAUGAAAGCUGGGGGAGCAAACCGGAUUAGAUACCCGGGUAGUCCCAGCUGUAAACUAUGCAAACUCAGUGAUGCAUUGGCUUGAUGCCAAUGCAGUGUUGCAGGGAAGCCGUUAAGUUUGCCGCCUGGGAAGUACGUACGCAAGUAUGAAACUUAAAGGAAUUGGCGGGGGAGCACCACAAGGGGUGAAGCCUGCGGUUCAAUUGGAGUCAACGCCAGAAAUCUUACCCGGAGAGACAGCAGAAUGAAGGUCAAGCUGAAGACUUUACCAGACAAGCUGAGAGGUGGUGCAUGGCCGUCGCCAGCUCGUGCCGUGAGAUGUCCUGUUAAGUCAGGUAACGAGCGAGAUCCUUGCCUCUAGUUGCCACCAUUACUCUCAGGAGUAGUGGGGCGAAUUAGCGGGACCGCCGUAGUUAAUACGGAGGAAGGAAGGGGCCACGGCAGGUCAGUAUGCCCCGAA